UUGAAAUCCUUUCGAUUGGGUUUGACGCUAUCACAGCCAAACUACCCUUGCCGAUUGUACGAGCGCCGUGAUCCAUUUGCCCCCUUGGAGCCAUUCUUUGUCCUGCUCUGAGCUCCGGGGGGAGGGGGGGGUGGGGCUGACACAUCACAAGGGCCCCCUUGUCCCUGGAUCCUCAUUGGGUUUGGCUAAUGGGAGGCACCUGCUGAAGAUCUGAAGCAGGUGGUGAGACAGUUUGGGGAGUUUUUUUCUUCAUUUGCUCCUCUUCCUUGUUGAGGUUCCUGCAGUGACUGCUUCUAACCGCAGGUACAGCUCCUACAGAGUAUAGGCCCUCUGGUGGCCAGCCUCUCAGUGCCAAGAUUCUCAUUUAUCUGAAACCAGCUAUCAAGUCUCCCUGAAAGAAUUUCUCUUCAGGCUAAACAUCCUGAAGAGAUCCUUCAAGUACAUUUUCCCUGUCAUCAUCAAGACCCUUAUAAGCCUUGCCACGGUCCUCUACAUGUAAGGUCAAACCAAAGUGCCAUUUCACAUGGUCUGGCAAAGACAGAGUAGAAUGGGGCUCUCAGCCCCCAAAUUGAGGGCACCUUAUUUCUGGUAAUGCAGCCCCAUAGCACGUUGGCCAUUUUUGGCUGUCUGAUUAAACACGGGGGUUUUAGUCUCCGUACAAUUAAAGGAAACUGCUAAAUCUCUUGUA
Molecule: long non-coding RNA, 688 nt
Organism: Leopardus geoffroyi (Geoffroy's cat)
Lineage: Eukaryota; Metazoa; Chordata; Mammalia; Carnivora; Felidae
Exons: 2
Source: RefSeq, a predicted model, not a curated record